RNAcentral lists this transfer RNA (72 nucleotides) under Pomatomus saltator. Its description in RNAcentral is "tRNA-Val". It matches the Rfam family "tRNA". From Rfam's summary of the family: Transfer RNA (tRNA) molecules are approximately 80 nucleotides in length. The record is from RNAcentral. Lineage: Eukaryota; Metazoa; Chordata; Actinopteri; Scombriformes; Pomatomidae.
CAGAGUAUAGCUAAGACAGAAUAGCGUUUCCCUUACACCGAGAAGUCGUCCGUGCAAAUCAGACUACCCUGA